Molecule: ribosomal RNA, 390 nt
Filed under: uncultured bacterium
Lineage: Bacteria
Description: bacterial SSU rRNA
Rfam family: Bacterial small subunit ribosomal RNA
Source: RNAcentral
AACGAACGCUGGCGGCGUGCCUAACACAUGCAAGUCGAACGAGAAAGGGGCUUCGGCUCCGAGUAAAGUGGCGCACGGGUGAGUAACACGUAGGUAACCUGCCUCUAAGAUUGGGAUAACAUGUCGAAAGACGUGCUAAUACCGAAUAAGACCACGGCUUCCUCGGAAGCAGGGGUCAAAGAUAGCCUCUACUUGUAAGCUAUCACUUAGAGAUGGGCCUGCGUACCAUUAGCAGUUGGUAGGUAAUGCCUACCAAGGCAAAGAUGUUAGCUGGUCUGAGAGGAUGAUCAGCCACACUGGAACUGAGACACGGUCCAGACUCCUGCGGAGGCAGCAGUGGGAAUAUUGCGCAAAUGGGCGAAAGCCUGACGCAGCAACGCCGCGUGAGUG